Mus musculus (house mouse) is the source of this 1880-nucleotide long non-coding RNA. RefSeq annotates it as predicted gene, 46690. The record is from RefSeq and is a predicted model, not a curated record. NCBI's taxonomy places the organism in Eukaryota, Metazoa, Chordata, Mammalia, Rodentia, Muridae. The transcript has 2 exons.
AAAAGUUAUCUCUCUUCUCUUUUUACAGAUGACUCAAGACUUGCUCAUAGUCAAGUGUCCCAUUUCCUACCUCCCACUUAUCUUUAACCCUGCUACAACUCACCUCUACUACUUCUUCCAAGCUAUUUUUCUUAUCAAGGUCUUCCAUAGCUUACGUUACUAAACCGAAAAGAAUCUCUUUAGAGGUCAUCCUACUUGGACUUGCUAGCAUUCAGGUAGCACCAGUGACCUCUCCCUUCUCCUGAAAUUGCUUCCCUAUGACAUAUCAUGCUUAUUUUUCUCCUUUUUCCUUUUCAGUUUCCUCCUCGUCUUAGUAGUGUUCUUGGGAGCUUUGGCCUGAGCUCUGUCUUCCCACGCACUCUCUCUGGUCUUUCCCUCAAUAUCUCAUUUGCUUCUAUGGCUUCAAUUAUUACUUCUUUGAUAGUUACUCUAAAAUACUUCAAAUCAAAACAUUUUUCCUGGCCCAGACAUUCAGCUGGUUAGAAAACAACAUUGUUUGAAAAUCCUAGAGAAACCUAGAAUCUCUGUUCUUUCCCAACUCAAGAAAUCCUCUCUCAAUGAGCUGUACCUUACCUAAGUGAAGGAUCUUGGUCAAAGUAGAGAUCUAAGCUAUACCCUGGCUCUUUUCUCUCUCUCUCUCUUCUACACCUCCCCCCCCCAUGCAAUUGCCAAGUCUUCCUAUCAUCUACAGGACCAUCUCCAUCAUCUACUUAUACAGUCUCAUUUCCAUUGCCACUCGCUGGUGUAGGCUAGUACAGCUUCUAAUCUGCAAUACCUUCACAGCUCUCCUGUUUCAGUCUUGUUCUCUGGAAUCUAUUCUUAACUAUUUUUCAUUAUCAUGUAUCAAACCCAAAGCCUCAGGCAAGACAGGCAAGUGUUCACUGAGUCCUGGAAUCUAUUCUCUAUAUUGUAGGCAGUCUGUAUUAUUACUAUUUUUUGAGACAAGCUCUCACUGUGUAGCCUAGGCAGGCCUUGAAUUUAUAAUCCCUCUGUGGUUGCCUCCUGAGUGAUGAGACUAAGGGCAUAUACUACCACAUCUGGCAAGUCUAUGUCUUUCAAAAUCAAAUAUCAUUCACAAGUUUAGAAUCUUCCAAGUCCCCAAAGGUUCAAAAGAAAAUUUACCUUCCUUAACAUUAGAGGUUUGGCAGGGCUCUUUAUGAUCUGGUGAGAUCUCAAUCAGCCUUUCUAAACCUAAUGCUUGAGUCAAAGUUGAAAAAUUGUAAGACUGUUCCUUGGUCUAUCCAGCCUCUGAAGGCUUUUUUAACCUUAAUUUUUAAAAUUCUUUGACAAUUCCAUCCAUAUGACCUCUGGAGGUUUUGGGUUGUUGUUCUCUUUUGCUUCUUUGGGUUUUUUUUUAGCGGCAGGGCCUCAUUUGGAGUCUAGGCUGACCUUGGACUGCAGUGAGUCCUCUUGCUUCAGGCUCCGGUGUGCUGGGAUGAAGGCUGAGGUUUUGCACGUUUGCUGCCGUCGCAUAUGGAACUCUCUUCACUUCUCCCUCAUUCCUCUUCACUUGCCUAAGUUUCAGCUGACGCUGUGAAUGUCUCCGGAGCAUGGAGUCUAGGCUUCAGCAUCCAAGUGGAGAAGUCACACAGGUGUAGCCUCCCCCAGCCUUGAGUAGGCUGGCUUUGACCUUGCUGCCACUGAGAAUCAGACCACCUGGGAUGGAGCCUUCCCACUUAGAUGGCUCUAUUGUUCUGUCACGUGCUGCUGUUCUCCAAGACACUGCUACCUGCUGAGAGGCCCUGGAGAUAUUCCGGAGACAGCAACCCGCAGAUCACCUACUGGCAGGCAACAGGCAUCAACAAUGGAUUGGCGGGGGGAUGGGCCUCCCCCCUUUAUAAGCACAGACUCUUAGUAAACUUGGGGGCCUUGAACAUAAA